RNAcentral lists this ribosomal RNA (463 nucleotides) under uncultured bacterium. RNAcentral describes it as "partial 16S ribosomal RNA". It matches the Rfam family "Bacterial small subunit ribosomal RNA", at positions 338 to 795 of the family's 1533-position model. The record is from RNAcentral.
CCUACGGGUGGCAGCAGUGGGGAAUAUUGGGCAAUGGACGCAAGUCUGACCCAGCAACGCCGCGUGAAGGAAGAAGGCUUUCGGGUUGUAAAGAUCCGUUGAUAGGGACGUAUAAGCAAUGCAAAUAGCUUUGUGUAUGACGGUAUCUGUUUAGAAAGCUUCGGCCAACUACGUGCCAGCAGCCGUGGUAAUACGUAGGGAGCAAGCGUUGUCCGGAAUUACUGGGCGUAAGGGGCGCGUAGGUGGGCGCUUAAGUCAGUUGUGAAAACUCCGGGCUCAACCUGGAGACUGCACUUGAGACUGGGUGUCUUGAGUGCAGGAGAGGAAGGUGGAAUUCCUAGUGUAGCGGUGAAAUGCGUAGAUAUUAGGAGGAACACCAGUGGCGAAGGCGACUUUCUGGACUGUACCUGACGCUGAGGCGCGAAAGCGUGGGUAGCGAACGGGAUUAGAUACCCCGGUAGUC